Molecule: long non-coding RNA, 320 nt
Filed under: Sorghum bicolor (sorghum)
Lineage: Eukaryota; Viridiplantae; Streptophyta; Magnoliopsida; Poales; Poaceae
Description: long non-coding RNA (SBIC_LNC010390)
Source: RNAcentral
UAACGGAACCGCCCAAAUUAUAAGAGAUUAAGCCUAAUGGUGACCAUUUGCACAGUCGAACCAUCGAGCUUAAGCCCAUAUAAUCCCGAUAGUCCGUGAAAUCUCGAAGGAUUUCAAACCACACACAUACAUACAGCCAAGAUCGUAAUAAGUUCAGCGGACACCAUUCACAAUUACAUCCAGUUCGUAGCAUUCAUCACAUUACAUCGGAGUUCAAUAUAGUUAUUACAAACCAAGUUCUCAAGUAGCGGAAGCUCAUAGUUUUGAAAUAACACACACCCACUUAGUCUGAUACAGUGCCAUUUUGGAUCAUUCCCACA